UUAAGUUCAGCGGGUAUUCCUACCUGAUCCGAGGUCAACUCUAAAAAAGUUGGGCGUUUUACGGCAGUGGCCGCGUCGCGCUCCUGUUGCGAGGUUGUGCUACUACGCAGAGGAGGCCGCGACGAGACCGCCAAUUCAUUUCGGGGGCGGCGGACGCUGGGCCCAAGAAGGGCGUCAGCGAGGUCGCCGGUCCCCAACAC
RNAcentral lists this unclassified non-coding RNA (200 nucleotides) under Pochonia sp. RNAcentral describes it as "partial internal transcribed spacer 2". The record is from RNAcentral. Lineage: Eukaryota; Fungi; Ascomycota; Sordariomycetes; Hypocreales; Clavicipitaceae.